This is a long non-coding RNA of Armigeres subalbatus, 497 nucleotides long. RefSeq lists it as uncharacterized. NCBI's taxonomy places the organism in Eukaryota, Metazoa, Arthropoda, Insecta, Diptera, Culicidae. The transcript has 3 exons. The record is from RefSeq and is a predicted model, not a curated record.
CUGACAGCCAUUUGAACACGUGUAUUUCGACUUGAACAUCACAAAUGAUGUCCAGUGACGCCCAAUCCCGUUUUCCGUGUUUACAUUGAAUUUUGACGUACGGUUGCUUUUUAGUUGGGCCAUGGCCCAACCAGCGGAGGCCCAACUAAAAAGUGACCCAAGUAUUAAAAUCCCAACCAGCGAAUCCCGACUGUACUGUUCCCACCAAGAGAGAAUUCAUCAUUUUGGUUGAAACUAAGGCACCGCAUCUCGUCUGCUGUUUAAGGUGGAAGUAUCGUAGACUCCACGACAACGAAACUUUGUUCAACGUCCAACAUCAGAAUGUGAACGAUUCAUUCCUAAAUUAGAUCCUGGGUUAGAUGGUGCCAACAUACCGGAAUUUAGAACGGAGUCCAACAUGCGGGGGAGGAGGAACGCUAAGACUAAACCAAAGCGACAACAUGCAGGGCAAAUGGUUUAAUAAAACAACAUUGAUGAUCAGAUUGUAUUAAGGCAGA